CAAGAAGCCGAAAGGCUACUUAAAACCAUCGCGAACUUAUCCAAGUUGCUUCGGCGGCGCGGCUCCCCUCACGGGGGACCGCAGCCCCCGCCUCUCAGGAGGUAAGGGGCGGCCGCCGGAGGUACGAAACUCUGUAUUAUAGUGGUAUCUCUGAGUAUAAAACAGAUAAGUUA
RNAcentral lists this unclassified non-coding RNA (173 nucleotides) under soil metagenome. RNAcentral describes it as "partial internal transcribed spacer 1". The record is from RNAcentral.